Molecule: unclassified non-coding RNA, 1586 nt
Filed under: Hevea brasiliensis (rubber tree)
Lineage: Eukaryota; Viridiplantae; Streptophyta; Magnoliopsida; Malpighiales; Euphorbiaceae
Source: RNAcentral
AAUCUUUUUACAAUUUCUUGAGGGGUGUUAUGCCAUGCCUUAAGAACACGAAUUAGAUUAUCAUCCAAAGGGUUAAUGUUAUUGGACCAUACUCUGCUUUUCUACAAAUGGAAUGCACUUUCUUUGUUAGUUUGUCCACCAGACUUAUGGGUUUCUCUCUUUCUCUUCUUCUCAUCUUCUCUGUCAUAUUUUCCAAUGUUGUUACAGGGAAUGCAUUCAAAGGAACUUAUGGAGUAAACUAUGGUAAGAUAGCAGAUAAUUUACCUUCACCACGCAGCGUGGUGACACUUCUCAAAGCUGCAAAGAUUAAAAAUAUUAGAAUCUAUGAUGCUGAUCAUGAAGUCCUCAAGGCCUUCAAAGGUUCUGGCAUUGAAAUAAUUGUUGGACUUGGCAAUGAGUAUUUGAAAGAGAUUAGUGUAGGCGAGGAUCGUGCGAUGUAUUGGAUCAAAGAAAAUGUGCAGCCCUUCCUUCCCGGAACUAAAAUUGUUGGAAUUGCUGUAGGAAAUGAGAUCUUGGGGGGUGACGACCAUGAGCUCUGGGAAGUUUUGCUGCCUUCUGUGAAAAAUGUUUAUGCUGCUCUUCGGCAGGCGGGUUUGGGAAAAUCUGUUGCUGUCUCUAGUCCACAUUCUGAGGCUGUUUUUACCAAUUCCUACCCACCAUCUGCAUGCGUUUUCAGGGAAGAUGUUCUUAUUUACAUGAAGCCAUUGUUGCAAUUCUUCUCACAGAUUGGUUCUCCUUUCUACAUUAAUGCCUACCCUUUUCUAGCCUACAAGAGUGAUCCUGAGCAUAUUGACAUUAACUAUGCUCUUUUCAAAUCAAAUUCUGGAAUUGUAGAUGCAAAGACUCAUCUGCACUAUGAUAACAUGUUUGAUGCUCAGGUUGAUGCAGCUUAUGCUGCCCUGGAAAAGGCAGGGUUUCCCAAGAUGGAAGUCAUAGUUUCUGAAACUGGCUGGGCGUCUCGUGGAGAUGCAAAUGAAGCAGGUGCUACAAGGCAACAUGCAAGGACUUACAAUUAUAAUCUUCGGAAACGGCUAGCUAAAAAGAAGGGGACUCCCUAUAGGCCUAAGACUGUGGUGAGAGCUUAUAUUUUUGCAUUGUUCAAUGAGAAUUUGAAGCCUGGGCCAACUUCUGAGAGACACUUUGGAUUGUUCAACCAUGAUGGGAGCAUGUCAUAUGAUAUUGGAUUCACUGGACUUAAAGAAUCAUCAGCAGUUUCAUCUCUUCUUUCUUUGAAGGAAAGUUGGCUGGGGUCUUCCCAUUCAUUAGCUUUUGCAACCUGCACAACAGUUCUGCUAUUAGUUUUAGCUUCAUAAUUGGUGACAAAAAGUAUUGAGCUUCUUUUAUCCAUGUUCAAUAUGAUGGUGCAGCAGCUCAAGGAAAAAACUCCAGGUUCUUGAAUUUACUAAUGUAGUUGUAACACAUCAAUUUGUAACCAAUUCAUUCGUUGUUCUUGGACAGACAAUUAAUUGUUGAAUCAAAAUUGAUUCACUGAAAAAUUGCUGAUUGUUUUUUCAAUUAUCUUCAGCAAUGCACCAGUCUUGUAAAUAAAAUUGAAAAAGAAGCUAUUGUUAUAAACUUGCCAUUUC